UCCUACGGGGGGCAGCAGUGGGGAAUAUUGCACAAUGGGGGAAACCCUGAUGCAGCGACGCCGCGUGAGUGAAGAAGUAAUUCGUUAUGUAAAGCUCUAUCAGCAGGGAAGAAAAUGACGGUACCUGAGUAAGAAGCCCCGGCUAACUACGUGCCAGCAGCCGCGGUAAUACGUAGGGGGCAAGCGUUAUCCGGAUUUACUGGGUGUAAAGGGAGCGUAGACGGCAGUGCAAGUCUGAAGUGAAAGCCCGUGGCUCAACCGCGGAACUGCUUUGGAAACUGUUAAGCUGGAGUACUGGAGAGGCA
RNAcentral lists this ribosomal RNA (305 nucleotides) under uncultured bacterium. Its description in RNAcentral is "bacterial SSU rRNA". It matches the Rfam family "Bacterial small subunit ribosomal RNA", at positions 337 to 659 of the family's 1533-position model. The record is from RNAcentral.